RNAcentral lists this long non-coding RNA (36601 nucleotides) under Elaeis guineensis (African oil palm). Its description in RNAcentral is "long non-coding RNA (EGUI_LNC010953)". The record is from RNAcentral. Lineage: Eukaryota; Viridiplantae; Streptophyta; Magnoliopsida; Arecales; Arecaceae.
UCAAGGUGUGUAAGUAAUAUGGCACUAUGACAGCAUAAAGAACCGAGAUAGUGGAAAAUGGAUGUAAUUUAAAGUUUAAAUGUUCUUUAAGUUAAUGUGAUAGAGCUUUAUCACACAUGUUUCUGGAAAAGUUGGUUUAUCUAGUUCAAAAUGUUUCCUAUCACAUGAAUUUUGUUGCUACAAAUUGAGUAAUAGUUUUUUGAGGCCCACCAUGAGGAACUAGAAAGUGUCCCAUCUUUUGUAAGUUGCCCAGUACAAAUAGCACAAAUGGUAUAUCUGUUUGCGGGGCGACAUACAAGCGAUGGUACUUUCCUCAACAAGUAUGAAUGUCCAAUUGUUCAUCUCGUGCUCAUUAUUCAUUUGUCAUUUCUAGGAUGUUCAUUCAAUAGAUUACUGGAUAUUUAGGUUGCUUGUCUUUUAUAUAUAGAUAUUUUGACUUCCUGAGAAAUCUUGAAUGCUGUCAUCGAUAAUCCACUAUUUACUAUGAAAAGGUGUAAUUGCAGUUGCUUCCCAUAUACUAUGGAAAAGAUUCUAAUGAGCCAGUGGUGAUAUUAAGAUAUUGGUCUUUGUUGAUUAUGAUGAGUAUUUUGAUUUGAGCAAGAGUUAAGGAAGAAUUAACAAACUUACAGGCCUAUUGUUGGUUUUUUCUACAAUGAAAGGGCAACCUUAAAUCAUUAUAUUCAUUAAUGCUGAAGUGACUCUUGGUAGCCAUGCAAUCGUAGCAGCACUAGCUAAAUGCAUAUUGAGUGUUUCACUAUAGAUAGAUGUAAUUUCUGUGGAAUUGUUUAAUCCAAAUUAUGGAAUCACAGGAUAUAUGUGUGCAUAUGCUUAUAUCAUGCAUAUGCACAUCAAUAUUUUUGUAUACUGCAGCUACUUAAAGUUUUAUUUUGGCGAUAACGUCACUUUAGUGUGUCUCUGUUUAUAUAUAAUCCAUGUAUUUUGCGCUCUUUUUUGGAGGUUUGAGGUUCAUUUGCUAGGUCGGAGAGAAACAGGGAGUAGUCUUGGUUAGCAAUGCUGCAUGAGAGGUUGGUGAUGGAGGAGCCUUUCUUUCUAUUUGUUCUUCUGAUUUUACUUUUAUUCUAAGUGUUAACAUGUCCAUAUCUAGUGUGACCUAUGUUUUUGUCUGCCUUUUGUGCUGCAUCCAAUUCUCCUGGGCCUUCAAAUGAAAUCUUUUAUGGAUUUGAUAUAAAUUGAGCAUUUUAUAUAAACCUAUGAGCUCACUUUUAGUGUUUGGGUUGGUUGUGAGUUUGAUGAGACCAUAGCGAGCGGCAUGAACUCUCAUUGCUUAAGGUCAUGUUGGGUUCUUAUAUAGGGACCCAAAAUUUGUUUCCACCUUACAUCUUGGAUUUGAAGUGAUUACUCAUGAACACUUUGAAUAUCUUAGAGUUUGGUGGAACUGUAGCAUUAAAUAAUGCGAAAAACUUGAAAAACUUGGUAUGCCAAACAUCUGGAUAAAACAAAGUCCAUACAUUGCUUUUCUAGGAGUCGUUUAAUGUGCAACAACCACCUUAAUUUCUGGUACUUGGAAUGGAGUCGCAUAAGUGGGCUUCCUUUAUGGAAACUUUUUUAGUGCGCCUUUUGGUUCAUGUGUUAUAUUGUAGGUCCUCUUAUGCUCCAAAAAAGAAUACGUUGCUUACCCAGCAUAAAGUUGUCGCGAUUCAAUUUUGCAGGUUAUAAGUUUGACAUGCUUGACCGAGAUUCAGCCAAUUUAAGGCUGCAAUUUGCUCGCUUUCCUGGUCCGAGGUCAGCUGGCAGACCUUGUGGCAGUCGUUGAUAUCAGGAGGAUUUUCUUUUUCCAGGUGACAGAUGCUGAUAUUUCAGUCUAUGCUUUUGUGCAAGCAUACAAUUUGCUUGAAGAUAAUGUCAGGAGGUUAUACACUCGUUAUGCUGAAUAAUUAUCCAACUGUUAACCAUCUUGUAAACAUGUUGAGAUCAGGAGGCUUUGUUCACCAUGGGACUGCUAGUAGAUUACCCUUUUUGGGUUUUCCUUUCAUAGACUCUGAACGUGAGAGUGUGGGAACUUUUGAAUUUAUAUAGCCUGGCAUAUCUGUGGUCUGCCCCAUAAAUUUGCUCUCCUGUGGCAUUUUCCUUCAAAGGACAACAUGUGCUGUUGUUUGAUGUUCUGAAGAAGGAACUAGUUUGACAUUAGUGCUACAGUUGAUAUGAAAUACAUGGUUCUUUCUCUAAUUUUUUAUUUUGAAGGUUGGUAGCGGUACAUUCAAUUUAUCAAUUGCUUAUAUAUGCAAAGGGGAUAGCUCUUGCUUAUAAUGAAUUAUAUAUGAAACUUUGGGAUUGUAACAGUGGACCAAGCCAAAGUUGGCCGCUUAUGAGGUAGUUUAGAAAAUCCAGCCAGUGCUUUGGAUUAUGUCAGCUCAAUGACAUGAGCUUCAUGGCUGAUUAAUCUCAAUUCAACACAAUCUUUUGUAACCGAGAUGUCUUGCGCUAUCAUGUUAGGAUUUUGUUUAGCAGUCUACUUUUAAAAAUUAUUGAAUGGGCUGAAGAGAUGGGUUAUUGUGAUUUAAACUAUGAGGCUGGUGUUACUGCUAAAAUUUGGUUGAAGGAAGCUGAGUUAGGUGCCAAGUAUCAGUGUAUUGGGCCCCAAGCAUGUGAUAUUUGUGUGCAUGAGAAAUUUGCGUCAUUUUCAUAGUUUAUCUAGCUAUCUCUUUUAUCAAAUUGCAAGCACGAGGGUUUCCCUCUCCCUACUUCAUGAUUCUGUGUGCCAUUUUUGCUGGUGAUACAUUCUACAUCCGUGUUUGAAAGUUGGGCAAGCUGUCGAAUGUGAAAUUAAGUUUCAUUCAUCAAAAUAGGACAACUCCAGUAUAUCUUUUUCACUCACUGAUCGGGGAAAAUAAAGAACUGCCUGUAGCAGUUAAGAUGUCAAUGCAUUCAGAGUUCCUGUUUUGGCCUGUAGAUCGACAUCAUGUUUGAGGAGUUCCACAUUUUUGUCUUCACAUAUCUCAUUAUCUUGUUCUUGAGAAUAGUUUUCUAGUGCAUUUGUAUCGGUGGGUAUUAAUAGCAAGGGUAAGCUUGGAUAUUCCUUAUGUUUGUAUAUUUUCGGGAUUACUUAUAUUUGUAUAUUUUCUUGGGAUUUGUUGUCUAUACCAUAUUUCUUGUUUUUUGUCCUGAUUUUGAAUUUGUUUAUGUUAUGCAUUAAAAAUAUGAUGUAUCUAUGCCCCAUCCCUACCCCCACCCCCACCCCCACCCGGGGAACACAAAAAGUUCUCAUCUGGCUGAUGGGAUCCAGGAUUCGGUGUUUUCCUUGCACCAAUAUAAGCUGAAUAAAAGGCUAGGUGAAGGUUAAAGAUUAUUUUAUUUUAUUUUAUUUUUUUGGGUUCAACAGCUCCGGACGUUGUAGACAAGAUUUGUUGGUCAAUUUUCAUUUUUUACUGGUUAAGCUUUGAAUUGUGAUCCCAAGAACAUGUCUGUCUAAAGGAAUCUAACAGAUGUUGCAAGGAACUUUGUGGAUUGAAAUUAUGUAUUGAUGUUGUAAUUUGGAAGCCUCAUGGUGAGCAAAUCCACAUACCUAUUUGCAGCAUACGAGUUUUUUAAUAAAAUAUAUAGAACCAUUUAAGCUACCUUUCUAGGAAGAACAUGAUUAAGUGGGUAAUAUUUAUCCAUAUAUGAAAAAGAAUGUGGUUUUUGGUUCUGCCCCAGUACGCCACUGCAUGUUGUUGCUUUCUUAUUGUAUGUUUUUAGAACAGUUGCAAUUUAUCUUUCUGGUAGAUAUUCCUUUUGUAGAUACUAUAAACUCGCGGAUUUUUUUUUUGGGUAGAAAAACUUGCAUAUUCAUAUUCCUCUUUCUGAUUAAAACUAGAAACCUACGUUCCUUUUUGGGUUAAAAAAAAGUAAAUAAAUUAUUUUCUUUUAGAACCCAUCUUUUGUUGUUUACAGAUAGAAGUUAUUGGCAUCUCUCCCCAAAGAGCUUGACCUUUGCGCAAUUACCGGAUAUUGCUACAGAAAAGAAAGAAAUAGAAGACAAUUUUGUUAUUGUGCAAAAUCAUUAAUGGUUAAAAAUAAUACUUGUCUGAUCCAGGGAGUUGAAAAUAUGAUGCAAGGAAAAUGCAGCAAUAAGAUUUCUUUUAUUUUCUGUUAGCAAUUAAACUCACGUUUUUUUUAUAAAAAAAGCAUUAGAUGCUGUGCGUGGGCCAGUAAGGCUGUAGGUGGAAUGGGUAUGAGUAGAUACACUUAUAUUUACAUCCCUGUUUUUGUGGAAAAAAUUAUACAUAUGACUGUUAGACAAUUUUUUUCCUUGUUAUGAGCCAAAUAUUAGGAUCAAUAUUCAUAUUUGCUACAAAUGAAUAUUGAUAUUCUGCUAGAUGACUUGUAGCCAAUGUGUAGAAAUUUGUGGCCACUUAAAGAGAUUUAUACUUGUAGUCGUGGUCUGUGUACAUGAAUUUGUGGCAGCUUGCCUUUUAGACAAUUGAUAUGUGUGUCAGUUGAAUCCAAUUUGGUCUUUCUAAUAAACAAGGAUAAAAGGUUUGUUAAAUAAUAAAAUUUCCCAAUGAUCUUUAUGUCAUAAUAAAUUUAUGCUUAUGUUAUUGUGUAACCAAGUGUCAAGUAUGUAUACAGAUUUUAAUAUGCAGCUUGCUCCUGAUCAAAAUAGGAGAAUUGUUUGCUCCUGAUUCAGAUAGGAACAAACGUAUUAAUGCAUUAGGGCUGCAUUUGGUUCAGGUAUAAGAAAAAAUGAAAUUAAAAAGUUCUGAAGUCACACCAAUUUUUGUUUGGUCAAUAUUUUUGAAAUAACCUUUAGUUGAAGAUUUUUUUUUCCCUUUGUAAAGCAGUAUUUGUUUCUGGAAAUAAGCAGGCAUAAAGCUGGUCACGAGUCUAUCAAAUAUCUAUUAUGUGAUUGGAAGCAAGAGAUAAUUGUACGGGUCAAACAUGCUCUUAUCAGCCAUAAUUGUUCCCAGAAAAAUAUUAUAUAUUUAUAUUGGUCUAGAAUGUAUUAUUUAUAUGCCUUUCUUUUGUGAUAGACUAAAACCAUCUUUAGUCAAAAUUUGUUCUAAUAAAUUGUAGCCUAGCAAAAAUGAAAGUAAAUGUUGGUAUUAUUCUAAUAAAUAUAACUUUUUGUAAUUUUUCCAACCCUAAUUUUUAAUUUUCCUGAACUAAAGGUAGCUAAAGAAUGGUGGCUGUGAUACAUAAAGUUCUAUGCUGGAAGAAAAAACGAUGAUAACUUUUUUUCUUGGAUUAAUUAUGCCUGGCAUGAGGUAGUUUGAUUGAAAUAACUGUUUCUUAUGUCUGUAUCUGGUACUCAGUUCUAGAUUUUCUAUGGAUUGUGUUAUAUUAACAAGCUGACAACCCAAUGUAAGCCUAAAAUUUCAGCUAGCCGGUUAUCAAUUGCAGGAUGGAAAAUUAAUUGGUUGUAUGGACCGUUAGUGGCAUAUGAUGCUGCGCUAGGAGAAAGCAGUGAAGCUACAAUUCUUUAGUUGGAUGCCAUGGCACCGCUCUUCUAGGGUACACUGCCUUUCAAAAUUCAAAGUUACAUAAUAUGUUUAAAGCACAAAUGAGGGCAAGAUCUUGUAUGGUUUCUUAGAUAACUUUUUUUUUUUUUGUAUAAUAAUGAUGUAAGCACCAGCUUCAUGAAUUNNNNNNNNNNNNNNNNNNNNAAGAUACUUUGUUAUGGUUUCUUAGAUAACUUUUUUUUUUUGAUAAUAAUGAUGUAAGCACCAGCUUCAUGAAUUACCCAGGUCAAACAUUUGACAUGAGAUAUACAUCUGAAAGUUCAGACUCGGUUAUUUCUCCAGUUGAUUUUGUGCCCGUAUAGGCUAUAUCCUGAUUUAAUUGACUGAAUAACAUUUGUUGUUCUCAAGCAGGUAUAAUUUACUAUGCGAUUUUCAAUCUAAACUGACGCAUUGAAGAUAAAUAGUGAAGCUAGAUAAUCUUGUGGUUUGCAUAAACAUUUUUUUUUUUAAUUUGACGUGAAGAUCUACUACCUUAUGUAGAAGUGAUAAUUCACAUGCCUUUGCCAUUGCCGCCUUCCAACGUAUCUUGGAUUUUUUUUUAUUUUUGUUCUCAGUUAUCGGGAAAAAAAAAAGACUAAUAGGAGUGAAAGAAAGCAUAACUUGUUAGAAAAUUGGAGUGACAUUACAGUGGUACACUCAGGUUUUGUGGUGGUCUGCUCUGCCACAUGCCUCCAAUUUUUUUUCCUUUUUUGUUGCUUGCUGGAUAUGAUUUGUGGCUGUCUUGAAAAUGUUUUGGACUUGCUAUUGCAAAUAUAAGAGUGGGAAAAAAAAAGUGAAAUAUAUUAAUCAGUAAGAGAGAUAGUGAUAUUAGAAUAUGUAUUGUCUUUUUUUUUUUAAUUAUUCUAUUCUGGCAAUUUACGUUUUGAGUACUUGAAGGUGUUGGUAGCGUCCUUUCCACUUGUCACAAUUCGUCUUCUGGAUCUAUAGGAAAUUGGUAUUAUUAUUAUUAUUAUUAUUAUGUGUUAUUUUAACCAGUUCAAUCCUCUUAUCCGCAGUUUUUCCUGGUGCACAGGAAGGGGUUUGUGGAAUUCAAAAGCGGGUAGGUUUGGUUCAUGAGAGAUCGGGCCAUUUAUGGAGCACUUUGGCCCGCUUCAAUGUCAUUAUCGAGUGUUGAUGAGUAAUGGAGUGGCAUCUUAUGACAUGGGCAUAUCUUUUUGGGCUACCAAGACGAGGUGAGAAAAAUUGAUCAUGAUUUUAGAAGAAUUAAAUUUAGCAUCAGGAUUCUGUGUCUUCUAUGAGGAGAAAACUUGUUUGCAUAGAUUUCAUCAGAAAUGCAAACCCAUUUACUGGUUGAUGCUCCUUGAUUUUUCCCGUCAUCUGGAUCACACUUGCCUUUUCCUUGGUUAGAUCUUCAUCUUUAUAAUUUACAAACUUGUGAAGGUUCCCUGCGUAUUUGUUUAAGCUAUGCUUUGAUUUCCCAUGUAUAGUUAACAAAUUAAAUCAUGUUAUUCUUGUCUAGCACCUUUCGUUCUACCUUUAGAUGGUUUCGAAUGGCAAAUUUAAAAAAGAGAGAAAAAAACUGUCAGGGUUUAAUUUUGUGACAACCCGCCCCCCUUUUUCCUUUCUGCGUCGAUGGUUCGGGCCGAAAGGAUCCCUGUGCCGAUGGUUGCCCCCGUGUCGUGGGCCAUGUACGCUCGCUUGAGUCGUGGUCGCCACGCGCUCACGCGCUACGGUCCAAAAUCCAGCGCACAGUUCCUGGACACGGCCCGCUCCACAAAGCCUCAGAUGCUCACCGCCUUUGUAGUUCGAGUCCGGAGGACUCGAUGAGUCGACGAUGAUUUGCCAUAGCAGUGGGACCCGUUUCCAGUUAUAUGCGGUUCACUGUCUCUCUCCUGGCCCCCAACCUCUGUACGGCUCUGUACCUGUUCGGACAAUGGGUCUAGGUUCUGAUUCGAGUUUCUUGACCCGUCAAAAUUGGCUAUAUAGAUCCGAUCCGUGAAACAAGAAACAGAAGGCAGAGUUGGUAACGAACCGCAAGUGAAGAGAGGAACGUCACCUCGAUUGCCUGUUUCCGCUGGUGACCAUCCACGGCUCAACUGUCGCUGAUCCUUCUCUCCCAAUAUCUUUGGCAGUUAGCAAGGGAAGCAGAGCUAGUGUUUGCCUAAGAAUUCUGGUUUCUAAUUGGUUGUUUUAUCAUUUUUCUUAGCAUUGAAUUGGAUCCAAUUGUUUGGUGGAGCAGGUACUGGGAUAUCGCUGGGCAGGAUCGUUUAGGAGGUACUUGGUGGAGCCUGCUGCUAUGUGGUGGGCUUUACUCUUUGUUCAAGUCUCUCUCUUCUGGUAUACCUUCCUCUCUCUCUUCCUUGUAAUUUCUUGUUCCAAGGUAAGCAGAAGGCUUAAAGAACAUCGCUGGUUUAUGAAAUGAACCAAUGUAAGGAGUGGCUACUGGCUAACUAUACGUUAUUGUUUGAUACAUAUUCUGGACACGGGGACUCCAUGAGAAGAAAAACAGGCUGAGGUGCAGCUUGACUCGUAAGCAGUUCUUGAAUGCCUUCGUCUGCAGCUUGGCAUACUAUAUGUUCCCCGGUUACCUCUUCAAGAUGCUAACCUUGCUCUCUUGGAUUUGUUGGGAUUGCGGUCGUUGGACUUGAUUGGUCAUCUGUCUGUGCCUAUCUUGGAGGUCCCUUUGGCAGCCCAUGGUUUGCUACUGCAGAUAUUGCAGUUGGCUUCUUCCUUGUGUAUGGCAUCACCCAAUCACAUAUUGGUUAGAUGUGUAUAACACCAAGACCUUUCGAAUGGUUUCUUGACACAUCAGAUGAAAGAACAACACUUCCAGCAUCACUGACUCCAACUUUCUCCUCGAUGCUGUUGCUUGUGAGAAGCAAGGGCCUCCUCUGUAUCUUAGAACCUUUGUUGUAAUGACUUAGGGUUUUAGCUUUGCCUUGCUCAGCACCACACUGGCUCAUGUCGUGCUGUUUCAUGGAAGGUAUAAGUUGAGCUAUGCUUCAUUAAUUUUUGGUACAGAUUUGGGUUUUGGUUCCUCGGCCUGAAAAUUAGUAGUCACUUAUUGGUUGAUUCCAUUUGGCCAGAGAGAUAUGGUAAAUGAACAAAUUAGAUUUUCGAGAAGAGAAGAUGCAUGUGCAUACAAGGCUAAUGAGCAGAUACAACCAAGUCCCUCUGCGGUAGUUUUGUGCAUCCUGGUGAUGAGUGUUGCCCUCACAAUCUUUGCAUGUGAGUAUUAUAUUGACCAACUUCAAUUACCAUGGUGGGGUAUCUUGCCAGCAUGUGCAGUGGCAAUCUUCUUUACUCUCCCUGUUGGAAUCCUUACAGCUACAUCAAACCAGGUAAUAUAUACCAACUGUUACUUCGUUUCAUCCAGUUCUGGCUUACAAUCUGAGAUUUUAUUGGACUUAAAUAUGUAAAUGGUCAUCUAUGUUGCAACCAGUCUUUAUCUGAAUAAUUUACUGAACAGAUGCCGAGGUUGAAUGCCAUUACUGAGUACCUUAUGGGCCUUUGUAGACUCAGGCCAUCCCCUUGCAAAUAUGUGCUUUGAGGUGUGUGGCUUUAUCAGCAUGAAACAGGCAUUAACGUUUCUGGAAGAUUUCAAACUUGGGCAUUGCAUGAAGCAAUGGCAUAUAGUUUUGUUUCUCUUUCUCUGUCUUCUCUUCGAAAAGGGAAAGACCUAGGAGUAAGUGGACAUAACCUGGUAGAAGCUCACGCACUUGUUUCUUAGUUUUGCUUGGAUAUGCUUCUUGCUAAUGUGUGAUAUGGGGCAGAGAAUCGUUCCACUCUGCCUGUUUGAUGCCACGGGUCCACCAGCAGAUGCAGGCCCUUAAUCUAGAAAUUUAGUUAGGACUGCCUUUUUCUAAAUGUGUUCCAGGUGGAACAGUAGCGUGAGUUCAGCUUAUUAGUUAUUACUAUGUUCAAUAUUUUUACAAAGAAUUAGUGUAUAAUUGAAGUCAGAUAAUUUUGUAAACAACAGAUAAUCCAGUGCAUUGCUAUUCAUAACAUUUUUUAGAUGAGAGCGUUGUUCUUUGGAUGAACUCAUUUGUUACUCAAUCUCCCUAUUAUGUAACUGUUCCUCAUUAAAUUUAUCACAUUCAGACUGGUUUCUGUCACAUGAUCCAAUCUCUUGUGAGGGUUAAGUAGUUGUUUUACAAACUAGGGUCCCUUCAUGGAGAAAGUCUUAACUGAUGUAUCAGAUGAAUGUGGGGAUAUUCUGGCAUCAAAUUAGGCCUCUUGUCAUCUACCUCGCAUGGAACUACUAGUCUCUCACUUGAGGACUGCAGACUACAAACAAACUUUCUUUCGUUUUAAUUCCCUAAUCCUCAUGUAGACUGCCAAUUUAGUACAUAAGUUCAUAUGAAUUUUUCAGGUCUUCAUGCACGCUUAUGAACACGGAUGCUAGUGCCAUCCAAAGCACUCAGCCUUACAAUAUGCAUCAUGCAGCUAUAUAUCUAUUAUCAAAAAAAGCAUUCUGGGGCCCCAAAUGAUCGUCCAUUUGAUGAUAAAUCUCUGUUGCUACUUUUUUUUUUGGGGUUUGUGGUGCCAUAUACUUUGUAGAAUUCUGUUGGCUUAACUCCUAAGCAUCAGAUUUAUCACAAUCCUAAUGAAUAUGUUGUCCAACAUUAUAUUUCUUAUCAGGCUUUUCUCCCAAGUGAUUUCUAGGAGUGGAUUCUUCAUUUAAGCAGUUCCAUAACAUUCCAUUGUCUGAUUUACAAGUUCUUGAUCCAUUUUGUUCUUUCUAAAUCACUGAAGCUCUGCCUUGUCUGAUUGUUUUCUCACCUGUUUCGAUUCUUCGUCUGCUGCGCAUGGAAGAGUAUUCUGGUAGGUGAUAAUUUUCUCCAUUUUUAUCAACACCACCUUUGAACAGCUUUUUCUUGUAGAUGCUGAUUUAAAACUAGAUGUUUAAUCAUCAUCAGGCAAUUAAGUUACAACACUAAAAUGCCUCUGCCCAUUCAAAAUUUGUCAAACCACUAUAAAUACAAAUCUUAUUUAGCUCACUGCUGCAUGGAAUCGAAAGAUGACGAAUCAUGUGCACUGCUCUUGUGAAGAGAGGAUGAUUGAUGCAACUUUGUUUCUAUCAGGUGGUGGGAACCUUUAUGUCGGUGCUAGUGCUCCUGGGAGCUGCAUGGUGGCUUAUGAGCACUGUUGCAGAAGAUUUCUGACCGUGGCUGGAGAUGGCUAGAGUGAGUUGGAGAUCACCGGAGUGACGUUUUGUAAAAUAAGUUUCGGUUGGAGUUGGUUCCGACGUGAAUCCUCCGACAGCCAAAUCAGGAAUCUGAUACAAUAGAGAAAAAGAGAAGAGAAAGAGGAGGCGGCUAUCGGAGAAGAUGAUCGGUGACCUGAGGAAGUGGGGACGUAGGAUCUCUGGGAGCAAAAAUCGGUGAAAAAUACUCAGAAAAGCAUUAAGAAGGAAAUUGGGCUUCCUAAAUCCCUUUUACAAGGGCACGGAUCCAACGCGGCCCCAAAUAUGAGAUUGUCGGCAAUUGAUGGAUGGACGACAUCUGGCAUUCUUUCAUUGACCAAUGUGAAUCGAGAGACGGCUCAUUAUGAGGAGCUUCAAAAAUGAAGCACGUCGCCUUUCGAAUUUCGUAAAAAUCGGUCCCUUCUCCUCCGGCCAUUAAUGGCCAGAUGAUGCAACAGCUUCUUUUUUUAAAAGAUGCCUCUUCGAUUUCGAACAAGUGCAUGCCCUCAAUUUGCCACCUAUCAUACUCCCAUCCUUCGAACCAUUUGAGCUAUGGAUUCGAGAAUAGGGGGACAUAUGUUAGGGAGGGGUAUUACACCUGGGCUGAAGCAUGUCCCCAUUGAUGUCAGGGUAGAGCCGAUCCUCGUAGAAUCUGCAUCACCCUAGUUAACCCGAUCCUUAUGAUGGAUGUACCACCCAAAGAUUAAAGGUCGUCUGAUACUCGUGUCGUGGUCUGAACCCCCUUUCGGGAUCAAGUCGAUCCUAAUUUUCGAAUCCUAAUUUGAUGGUCAGUCCCAGCAGCUAAUGGGCCUUAGGUAGACUUCAGUGAUUUAGUUGAUCCUCUUUUUGGCCGACCCCUGACUGUUUACGUCGAACAAGGAUCGAGCAUCGGAUGGCCAUUUCUCGCUUAAGAUUCAAGCUGGAGGAUAUUUUAAUCAUUUCUCUUUGUACAAACUUGUUAGGCCAUACUGUUUAGCUGCACCGCUCUACCUACCGACUUCGCGCCAGUUGAGCCCAUGUCACAUCAUCAUUCCUUCCACGAUCAGACGGUGCAUCGGUUAGAGGAACAUUCGCCAUCGGAGUCAUUUAAAGAUGCCCCAUACGGCUUCGUAUGAUGGGACACGAUCGGAAUGGCCUCCCGUCCUUCAAUCUUUGAUCUUAAUCUUUCUAUAAAUAAAGAAGGGGUCUUGACGACGGCCGCAGCACCUAUCCUCGCCUCAACCACUGACUCUGAUUUCCUACCAAUCUACGCAUUGGCCAGCGAACCCCAUUUCGACCGACGAUCGGGGUUUGAAUAGUUGAUCCUAGUUUUGAUCAAUCUUUCGAUCAUCGAUCCCAAGGCGACAUCCGGACAUCAGGCAUCGAGCCAAGGAAAGCUUAACUUUGGCAUCUUCCUUAGGAGUCUUGAGUCGAUCUUUACUUUUAAUCGAUCUCUGAGUCAUCCACUAUUACAACUUAUCAUUUUGAAGAGAUUGACCUUCACUAUCCCGAAUCCCACGCAGCAGAUUAAAUCGAUCUCCAAGUCAAGCUGAGCUUCACCUUUCCGACCCUUCGCUGUCCUCGGAUGACACCUGGAGGACCCUUCGGUGUUCAUGCUCCGGCCACCAACCUCAGCCACCAUCAGCCAACGGAUGGAUGAAUUUGAACAAACCAGCCGAUUCCUUCUCCUGGUUGAUGUCCACCAUUUAGCAAUAAGGGCAUCUGUUGGUCCUCGGGCUUGGGCAUCGGGGGAAAGAUCUGACACUAGACGAUGGCCUCCCAUCCAAAGUACAUAUCAGAAGAUACUAAUUAUAAUUUCUGUUUAAUCAUGUUAAGUCAGAACACGUCACCUUACCACGCCAUGCCACUUAUCAGCUGUGUGUCGAUUACGCUCGCGUCACGUCGCCUCUCCUGCUAAUUGCGCAUCGAGUAAAGGCAUGCUUACCAUCAAGAUACAUGACAUGAUCCGUACGGCUCAAGUGGUCCGGAAUGAUUUUCUAUUUUUUUACUCUCGAUCUCUCUAUUUAGAGGUAAGGGAGAGAUCCUCUAGGUACGCAAGCAUGCUCACCAUAUUUAUGCUUUUUCGUGAUUCUCUUUCUUUCCCUCUGUGAUGUCAGAUUUCUGAUUUGACUAUCGGAGGAUCCACAUCAGAGCCCACUCCGAUCGAAAUUUAUUUUGUAGGGAUGCUGCUCUGGUGGUCUCCAACUCGCUCCAGCCAUCUCCGACCGCGAUUGGGAAUCUUCCGCAACAAGCACCAUUCUUAUCAUCUGCGAUCAAGUCAAACUGGCUCCUGGGGACAUGCCUAGUUUUCUCCGAUGCUUGCAUUGUAUGGGGUCUGAUUGAGCCUCUUGGGAUUUUUGGUAACCUUGGCACCUACUCAGCAAUCAACUGGUUCUUCCUGCUUGAGGUUGUUUUUCUUGUCUGGCUUGCCCCUGAGGCCUUUCCACGACUGCAAUUGAUCCGCUUUGUUGCCGUGUUUAUCCUGAUAAGUGCCCUGGGAGAGAUGCCUUCAGCCUUAGAAGUCAACUACGCUUCUAUUAUUGUCAGCUUUGUUCUAGGUUUUGUUAUCUAUAGGUACAGGUGAGACUGUGGCAACAUCACGAUUAUACCAGAGGCAUAAAUUUUUUAUAGUCGGACUGAUCAUAGAAAAAAUUAUGAUCGAAUAUACUUCGAAAACGUCCAUCAAAAGAUGGUGGCCACACGCACGUAAUACUAAAAAAAGAAGAAUGGAUCUUGAGAGUAUUUGAACAGUUUAGAUAAAUAUCACAUAAAUAUCUUUUUUUUAUAGAUAUCUCAAUAUAUGUACGUGACAGACGAUAAUGGUUCGACUAUAAUUUUUUUCAUGAUCGACUCGACUAUAGAAAUUUUUUCCUCUCCAGGGCUUCAUAUGCUGGCCUUACAUGUAUGGUAGUGUUGUUAUACAUAUGUGUUAAAGAGUUGGGAGGGCAUCAUGGCCUGCUGGUGAGGAUCCUAGGAGGAAUGGAUGCGAUUGGCCUCUUGUCCAACUGAGUGUAAUGUCGUUGACCAUUACCCUCUGGUUACACUUGUGGAGUUUGAUCACGUGAUAUUUAUAAUUUGUACGUGUAAAAAAAAUAUAGAAUCUCUCAUCUACUAUCGCUUAAAUUCUAUCUAAACUAGGCUUGGCAAUGAGGGGUUAGGUGCGGAUUUGGAUCAACUCGAAUCCGACUCGAUAUCUCAAUAUUUUGAUUCGAUCUCGAUCCGUGAUUCGAUGGGCCAAUACUUUUUUUAUCCAUAUUUGAUCCGAUCGGUAUUUUUAUCCGAUCGGAUAGCUGCUCCGCUUAAAUGAGAUUUUCUAGAUGAAAAUAGAAAUAUUGAACAACAGCCCACUACCACUCUUCAGUUCUUGAGGUCUUAAUCGAGCUUAAAGGUCAUAAAGUCCAUAUUUCAUACAACCAGUCUAUAUUUGAACAAUAUAUACACAUAAGAUCGGAUUUAGAUCAGGUAAUGUGUUGGAGCAGCCACUAUCCGAAUCUAAUCUGAUCCGAGAUAUAAAGUUAUCGGGUUCGAAUCAAGUCAGGUCAAAAUUUAGUAAACACAUUGACCAAUCCAACCCAUUAGGAUUGGAUCGGAUCGAGAUCCAUCUGAGCCGGUGUAAUUGCCAAGUCUAAUCUAAACAUUCGUAUUUAUUAUUAUUUUUGAUGAAUUCUAAUUUCCAAUACAUAUACACAUACAUACAUCCAUACAUAUAAUCAAAGUUUGUGGAUAAAAUUAAGAACAAUCGAUUUUGUUUAGAAAAUAUUGAAAAAUUUUGAAUGAAAAUUCAAGUUCAAAUUGACUUUUCUAGGUUUAUUACUAUUUUUAGUGAUUUAUAUUCAAUUCAAUUUAAAUUUCAAAUAUAAAUUUAUACAAAAAUCUCGAAUUGAGCCUAGAUCAUAUUUAUUCUAAUAUUAUCCGUUCAAAUUUAUCUAAAUAUGGAUAAAAAUUUAAACAUUCGACUCUAUAUCUAACAAACAAAAAUAGAUGUGAAUAUAGGUAGAUAACUAUUCGAUUUAUAAUCAAAUAUCAAUUUUAUCUGUAAUUAUAUUUUAUUUUAUAUAAUAUUUAUAUUUUUUAAAAAUAUAUAACUAUAUUAAUAUAUUUUUAAUAUGAUUUAUUAUUUAUUUAAAGAUAUCUUUCAUUUUAGGGUCAUAAAUAUCUGAUUGGUAUUCAUAUAUAUAUAUAUAUAUAUAUAUAUAUAUAUAUAUAUAUAUAUAUAUAUAUAUAUAUAUANNNNNNNNNNNNNNNNNNNNAUAUAUAUAUAUAUGUUUGCAGCCCUGGUGUCGCAGAGGGGAUUUUUUAAAAUAAUAUUUUUUAAAUAAAAAAUUCUCAAAAUACCUCCGUUUGGAAAUUAUUUUCGAAAUUACUGUGUUUGGACCGCGUCAGCAAGAAUCGUGGGUUCAACCCACGAAUUCAAGGCCCACAUGGAGAAUUCGUGGGUUGAGCCCACGAAUAGUCGGCCUACCUGGCUAAAUAAUGAAAUCGUGGAUUGAACCCACGAUUUUGUUUAAAACAAAUUUUUUAAAAAAUUUCAAGAUGAAUUCGUGGAUUCAACCCACGAAUUCAGUCCGUCGCCACGCGGCCCACAUGCUGAAGGCCCACAUGGCUAUAAGGUAUUUAUUUUAUAUUAUUUUUUCUGAAAUCGUGACCUCCGGUCAUGAUUCUCCGACAGCCAUAACUCCCGAUCCCCACCGAUCCUGCUCCCCUCCUCCCUCUCUCUCCCCCCCAACCGCCGCCCCCUCCACGGGCCCUACCCCCCGCAGCCACACCGGCCACCCCCCUUCAAGCCCCCUCGGGCCGCCACCCUCCUCCACAGGUCUCCCCCGAGGGCCGCCCUCCUCCCCGGUCCCGGCCGUCGCCCUCCUCCCUGGUUCCCCCCGCCAGCACCCCCUCCACCCCCUCCUUUCCCUCUGGCUGCGGCAACGAGAGGUAUAAAUUUAUUUAUUUUUUAUUUUUUAUUAUUUAAAUUAUUGUAAUUAUUUAUUAAUUUUAUGAUUUUUAUAAUAUUAGAGUUUUAUAAAAUUAUGAUGUUUUAAUUUUAUAAUAUUAUUAAUUUAUGAAAUCUGUAAAUGAGAAAUUAGAAUUGAUAAUUUAAAAAUUUUACAAUUGUGUAAAAUUAUAUGAUAUUGUUAUUUUUUGAAGUUUUAUAAGUUUAAAAAAAUAAAAUUAAUAAAUAUAAAAUAUUUUAAUUAUAAAAUUAAUUUUAUUAAAUUAUAUAAUAUUUUUAGUUGGUAUAAGUGAAAAAAUUAAAUUAAUAAUUAUAAAAUUUUGUUAAGUAUGUUUAAAUUUAUAAUAUUAUAAUUUUUUGUAAUUGUCUAUAAAGUGAAGAAAUAAAAUUAAUUAANNNNNNNNNNNNNNNNNNNNNNNNNNNNNNNNNNNNNNNNNNNNNNNNNNNNNNNNNNNNNNNNNNNNNNNNNNNNNNNNNNNNNNNNNNNNNNNNNNNNNNNNNNNNNNNNNNNNNNNNNNNNNNNNNNNNNNNNNNNNNNNNNNNNNNNNNNNNNNNNNNNNNNNNNNNNNNNNNNNNNNNNNNNNNNNNNNNNNNNNNNNNNNNNNNNNNNNNNNNNNNNNNNNNNNNNNNNNNNNNNNNNNNNNNNNNNNNNNNNNNNNNNNNNNNNNNNNNNNNNNNNNNNNNNNNNNNNNNNNNNNNNNNNNNNNNNNNNNNNNNNNNNNNNNNNNNNNNNNNNNNNNNNNNNNNNNNNNNNNNNNNNNNNNNNNNNNNNNNNNNNNNNNNNNNNNNNNNNNNNNNNNNNNNNNNNNNNNNNNNNNNNNNNNNNNNNNNNNNNNNNNNNNNNNNNNNNNNNNNNNNNNNNNNNNNNNNNNNNNNNNNNNNNNNNNNNNNNNNNNNNNNNNNNNNNNNNNNNNNNNNNNNNNNNNNNNNNNNNNNNNNNNNNNNNNNNNNNNNNNNNNNNNNNNNNNNNNNNNNNNNNNNNNNNNNNNNNNNNNNNNNNNNNNNNNNNNNNNNNNNNNNNNNNNNNNNNNNNNNNNNNNNNNNNNNNNNNNNNNNNNNNNNNNNNNNNNNNNNNNNNNNNNNNNNNNNNNNNNNNNNNNNNNNNNNNNNNNNNNNNNNNNNNNNNNNNNNNNNNNNNNNNNNNNNNNNNNNNNNNNNNNNNNNNNNNNNNNNNNNNNNNNNNNNNNNNNNNNNNNNNNNNNNNNNNNNNNNNNNNNNNNNNNNNNNNNNNNNNNNNNNNNNNNNNNNNNNNNNNNNNNNNNNNNNNNNNNNNNNNNNNNNNNNNNNNNNNNNNNNNNNNNNNNNNNNNNNNNNNNNNNNNNNNNNNNNNNNNNNNNNNNNNNNNNNAAAAUUUUAUAAGUGAAAAAAAAUAUCGAUAUAAUUUAAGUGAAUUAUUAUUAAAAAAUUUAUUUUAAUUAUUAAUUUUGAUCAAUGUGGUUUGCUUUAUGUAGAGCAUGCUAAAAUUAUUGUAUUUGUUAUGUAUGCAGUGAUGAAAGAAAAUAUUACGAUCUUAUGUUACAUAAAUAGUUCUACAAUUUAUGGACCGAAUGUGAUUAAAUACAUUGGUCGUCUUGAAAGGGCAGUUAGAAUUAAAUCUGAAAUUAGAUUUGAGGAGUUGGAGAAUAAAUUAUGCAGACUCUUUCGUAUAGGCAAAAGCAAGAAUAGACUCACGAUAAUAUAUAGAUAUUCACAGGUUGUACAGCCAAUAUUGUUAAAAUAUGAACAUAUUCCGAUUACUGAAGAUGAAGAUAUUGAAGUAAUUUUUUCAACGGUUAGUUCGCACCCAUAUUUAUUAGGUGCAGAGUUGUAUCUAGAAGUACAACCUAUUGAAGCUGAACAGUAUGAUUAUGAAGUAACUGAUAGAGAUAUAAGAACAACUCAGGGCAUUCAACAGAUCGGUCUAUCUCGAACAGCUCAGGACAUUAAGCAUGUACCAGAGACUCAAAGUUCCAGACAUGCAGAGGAUCAAUUUUCUGUAGUUGAUCCUGAUGUGGUUGGUGUCACUAUUAGAGAAUCAUCAGUUUAUACACCUAUCGAUGAUAUGAUGCACAUAGAUAAUCGGCUAUUUGAGGAAGAUGACAUACAGAGUGGAGAUGAGAUGGACUUCCAUCCUCAGGAAGGUGGUACUUCUGCACCUAUAGAUUGCAGACCUGUGGAAGAGCAUCCAAAUUUAGGGGUAUUUGAAGCUUCGUCUGCAACAUUCUGAUCAAUUGAUUGGACGGUAGCUAAUGCAUCAUUGUCUUCUGGUUUGGAGACAUGGUGCACCAGCUGGGAAAAAGAUGCCGAGUUGUUAAAAGGACUUCGUUUUAGAGAUAAAAUGGAACUGCAAACUGCAGUAAAACAAUAUCAUAUUGAGAGGCAUUAUGAAUUUAGAGUUGUCGAGUCAGAGCUAAAACUUUGGGUGGUAAAAUGCAAAAAUAGAGUCAGGAUGUAAUUGGAUGCUUCAAGCUGUUAAGCGAUACGAUUACUUUAAAAUCACAAGGUAUAUCGGUCCACAUACAUGUGUUUCAGCUAUGCUUUCUCAGGAUCAUUCUGGUCUUGAUUCGAAUUUUAUUGCCAAUGAAAUUCAGGAUGUUGUAAAAGAAAUAUCCAUAAUUUCUAUUGCCGAUAUCGGUGCAAUUAUCAAAAAUAGAUUCAACUAUACGACCAGUUAUAAAAAGUUAUGGGAGGCAAAGCAAAAAGCAAUGGCAUUGAUAUAUGGAGACUGGGAUAAAUCUUAUAACCUAUUGCCAAAAUAGUUGCGUGCUGUACAGAAAUUUAAUCCUGGCUUUUGGGUGAAGUUCAUCAGCACUUCUACCGAUUUUCUCCAUUAGCUGCAUUUGAUCAUGCUUUUUGGGUAUUUGCACCAUCAAUUGAAGGCUUCAAAUAUUGUAGACCAGUUAUCAGUAUCGAUGCUAUAUUUAUAUACGAAAAAUAUCGGAAGAAGCUGAUGAAAUGGAUUGUUGGGUGCAACAAACAACUGACAUCACCAUUAUACCAUAGAAAGAACGAUUGCGACAAAAGGAAAGACCACGAUCUUCUAGACUAAGGAAUGAAAUGGAUUGGACGGAAAUCAGGAACAGAACUAGGUGCCGAAAUUGUGGCGAAGUAGGGCAUAGCAGACGACAUGUCCGACAAAUAGACAAUGAUCUUUUGUAUUCAAACUUGUAUUAUUAUCAGAAAAAUUUUUUAUGUUAUUAUCUAUUGUAAUGUGGUACUAAUUUUGUUCCGACUUGUAUCAAAUAUAUGUGUUUGAUUCGAUAACAAAAAUUUUUUUUACAAAUGUGUUCUAUAGCCUCGUGCACAUGGAGCCAGGGUCGGUAGAUCAGACGGUCUUAUAUGCUCAGGUGUCUCAUCGAUUUUUCAUCAUUUGGGAUGGACAUGUAUGUAUUUAUAUUAAAUAUAUUUUAAAAUUUAGAGAUCUGAAUUAACUUUUUUUUCACUUUUGCAAGAGCAUUUCUUUCUUCGAUGUCGACGGCGAGGUGCUUUUUCACUUUUGCAGGAGCAUUCCUUUCUUCGAUGCUUUUGAGGUGACAGAGGUUUCCACCCAUGUUUUACUAAGUUUUAUUGGUUUCAUCUUGAUCGUUUCGAAUUUGAUCAGGUAUAAACAUAAAUAAUUUACAUUACUUAGAUAAUUUCUUAGAAUGACUACGUUCAUACUACUUACACUCAAUUCUGUGGAUGAAAAGAUCGUGUGGCAGCCAUAUACUCCUCUGGUCCUAGCUGGUCUACCAGAUUAUUAUUUUAGUAGACAGCAUAUAUGGCAAUGCCAAGUGACACUUCUAUGCUUUUUUAUCGUUGAGUGGCACUAUCCGGAUAGAGUGAUGCACCAGUUCAGACUACGCCAGACUAUUUUGGAGGUUUGUGAUACAGAUUCCAGACUUCAUCAUAUCGACCUUCGAGGGCGCACAGAUCAUGACUGGAGAAGAAUUCAUCAGCACUGGGUUGCACUCUGGGAGAGUCGGUAGGAUUAUAUUAUAAACGAUCCAGCGGCCGACGGUAUGAUGGAUUAUUAUGAUGAUUACAUGGAGUGAUAUCGUCGCAUCACGCAUCGAUUCAUUUGUCAUGGAGGAGCGAUGUUUGACUAUCUGAUAAGGUUUCAUAUUUUAUCUGUAAUUUUCUAUGACUAACACAUUUAUAUUUUCUCCAUGCUGAGCAUGUUAUUUGUGUCAGAGUGACAGUUUGGUGAGGAUUCAUCAUUUGGCUCGUCCGAACUCGUUAGCCACAUUCGGACAGCUCAUUCAGAAUAUUUGUGCUUCAGGACUCCACGUCGUUUGACAGCACACUCGUAUCUCCAUCGAUAUCCAUGAUCAUGGUCAUGGCAGUGUAGGGUCCACUCCUUCACCUUUCAUGCAUCUNNNNNNNNNNNNNNNNNNNNGUCAUCAUCAGGAGCACCUGCAUUGCAUAGAGGAGGUAUCAGAUGAUAUUAUAUAUCAUCAUUUUCGAUUUCGGAUCUUCCAUCAUUCAGUUCAUAUAUGCCCUCGUCCGUGUUUAUGUACGACGAUAUGACCUAAUUUCAGUCCACAGAGGAGACUGCAGUACAUUUUGAGUAUGCAGCGAUCGAGUAUGAGGGACCUAGUGAGGGUCCGAUAGAGUAUCAAACGGGGUCGCCUGAGGGAUCGAUUCAGAGUUUGAGCGAGCAUCAUACUGAGGGUUUGAUCGAGGGUCCAGAGAAGCAUUGUACUGAAAGAUCGAGUGAGGUUCCACCCAUGGGUCAUCGAGUGCAACCCGCAAGAAAGAAGCGAAGACCACCUUGUGGAACAUGAUGUAUAUAUUGUAGUUUUUUCAUGUUUGUAAAAUGUAUGGAUAUGAAAGUAAUGGAAUAUUUUAUUAUACAACAUUAACGAGUGCAUUAGAAUUUUGAAUUCAAGUGCUCUUAUAUUAUGCAAUUCGUGCUCUUAUAUCAUAUGGAGUCGCAAUCCGAGCCCACCGAUUGAGUUUGGAACCAUAGUCGAUCAACGACGUGGCACGCAAGUCGGGCCGAAGCGGUCGACCACUGCAAUCCGAGCCCACCAGUCGAGUCCGGAAUCAUAGGCAAGUCAUGCCGAAUCGAUCAACCGUCUGAAAAUUUCGAUCAAUCGAUCCAAACCGAGCUGACCUGUUUACUUCAAUCCUAGCUGUGCCUAAACACUAAACCCUAAAUCGAUCGACCGCCUGACAAUUUUUAAAAAGUUGUUUAAAAAUUUAUAAUUAUUAAAAAAUUCAAAAAUUUUCAAGAUCGAUUGAUCGUUUGAGAAUAUCGGUCGAUCGAUCCAAAGCGAGCCGAUCAAUUGACUCUUGAUUCGCCAAACCAAUCGACUGUGUGGCACGCAACCUGUGCCGGACCGGUCAAUCGAAUUUCUCAUGCGGUCGACUGGUCCGGCAUGGGUUGUGUGCCAGAUGGUCAACCGAUUUAGCAAAACAAGGGUCGACCAGUCGGCUCGAUUUGUAUCGAUUUCUCAGGCGGUCGAUCGGUCCGACAAAUUUUGGGUCCCAUGCGGUCGAUCGAUCUGAGACUCGAAGUCAACCGACCAGCUCGAUUUGGACCGAUCGAUCGAAAUUCUCAGGCUGUCGAUCAGUCUGGCAAAUUUUGUGUCCCACGUGGUCGAUCGGCCUGAGACUCGAAGUCAAUCGGCCAGCUCGAUUUGGAUCGAUCGAUCGAAAUUCUCAUGCGGUAGAUCGAUCCUGAUAUUUUUUUGAUUUUUUAAAAAUUAUAAAUUUUUAAACAACUUUUUAAAAAUUAUCAAGCGAUCGAUCGGUUUAGGGUUUAGGGUUUACGAUUUAGAGUCGAUCGAAAUUUUCAGGUAGUCGAUCAGUUCGGCAUGACUUGCCUGCCAUGUCGUUGAUCGACUAUGGUUCCGAACUCGAUCGGUGAGCUCGGAUUGCAACUCCGAUAAUAUUUUUGAUUUUUUAAUAAUUAGUCAUUAUACACUAACUAUUUGAUUAACUACUUUGCUGUCAAAAUCAUAUCUUAAAUUGUACAUAAUUUUAGUCAGAUUACAAUACAUCUAAAAUGACAGCAACAAAAGAAAUGUACAUAUGCAUUCAUCAAACUAAAGUACAUUUCUCUAAAUGUUAAUGACUAAGAUGGCAGAUCUUCGAGUGAAGCCACACAUACUGCUGCUAAUUGCUGAAGCUUAAUCAUCUAGAGUAGGGUCUUCUUAUGGUGGAGGAAAUUGAUGAUAAAAAUAUUAUACGAACUGAUCAAAUCGUCCAAAAGUCUCGUCCAAUCGGGCACCCAUCUGUGUAAAUCGCUCAUUCAGCCGAGAAUCCAUAUGUGCAAACCUCUCGCUAACAGAUAUCUCCAAUGCAUCUAUACGAGCAGAUAAUGCAUGCUGAUCGGAUGACUACUGAUCAGACUGUAUAGCAUGUAUGGGCUACUCUCUGUCGGUAGACUGACCACCUCCGUCACCACCAUGUUCUUCUUCAUCUACUGUAGACGUACGCAUCCAUACACCAUCAUGAAAUGUAUACCCCAUAUGCCUCAGAGAUGCAUGAUUGUAAAUAUCACUACAUUUAACCUUGACAACUUCAUCGGCCGUGAUGUGGACAUGAAAUGCUUUGAAUAUAGUAGUGAGAACAGCUCCAUAUGGCAAGAUGAUUUUUAAACUUUGAAAACAUUCAUUCAUAUAGAACAUCAUUAAAUAGGGCAAAUUAACCCUAUCACCUAAAAGAAUCAUUCUGAGGAGAUAAACAUCUAAAUAUGAUACGUGUUCUCUAUGACCUCCUUUGGGCAAAAAAUUAAACAUAAAAAUAUAAUGGAUUAACCUAGUUUCAAGUGGUAAUUGAUUUGCAUCAGAUUUAGCAGUCGUACUUAUAUGAUCGUCAAAAAUAGUUCUAACACAGGAAGCAUAGUCUAAUAUUGGAUGAUUCCAAACAGUACUACUAUUAAAAAAUUUGUCACCGUCUGAUGGAAUAUCUAAAAUUUGACCUAAAAUUUUACAGUCAAAUUCGAUUAGUUGUCCUUUAACAUACGAUGAAAUGGAACAAGACUUACUAUUAAAACUAAAAUUACUAUAAAAAUAGUAAACCAGAGUAGGAUACGUUGGUUUGUUGAGCGUAAUCAUAGACAGCCAGCCCAUCCUUUCAAAUAAAAAUUUAAUACAAAAAUCACUAAAACUAUUUAAAUCGACUAUCCUACCUCCUACAACUUUUUUUUCAAAAAAAAUUGAUUAAAAUUUUUCAUUACAUUCAUUAUCUAAAAAUAAGGACUCUUCAUACCUACGAGAUGGUUGCUUCUCUUUCUCUACUCGAAUUCUCUUUUCUUUCGAUAAAACUCUACUUUUUUUGAAAGCCAUAAUCGAUUUUAAGAAAGGAUGAGUAACGAGUAAUAAGGAUGAAAAGUGUGCACUUGAAGAGAGGGUGGGGUGUGAACGAGUAAGAAGGAUGAGGAGUGUGCACUUGAAGGGAGGGUGGAAUGUGGAUUUAAAGACAACAAAUUUAUGGGUUGAACCCAUGUUUUUGGGUCAAUUUUUAAUGAAUUCACUCAUCGUGCAACGGGUAAGAAUUCAAAUGAAUUCGUGGGUUGAACCCACGAAUUCAGGCCAACAGGUUAUUUUUUGAAUAAAUUCAUGGGUUCAACCUACGAAUUCUCUUCAAAUUUAAAAAAAAUAGUUAUAUCGAAUUCGUAUGUUGAACCCAUGAAUUCGCUUCAAAUUAAAAAAAAAAUGAUCAUAAAGAAUUCGUAGGUUCAACCCACGAAUUCUAUUGGAAUUUCAAAAAAAAAAUUGAUUUACAUCAAUUUCGUGGGUUGAACCCACGAAUUUGGUCUGACCGGGUUGAAUUCGUGGGUUCAACCCACGAAUUUCAUUGAAAAUUCUAAAAAAAAAAUGGUUUACACCAAUUCGUGAGUUCUACCCACGAAUUCACUUCGAAUUCGUGGGUUGAACCUAUAAAUUCGUCCUGAAUUUUUUUUAAAAAAAUUAUUUUAAAUAAAAUCAUGGAUUGAACUUACGAUUUCGUUAUUUGGCCAGGUGGGUCGACUAUUCGUGGGCUCAACCCAUGAAUUCUCCAUGAAGGUCUUGAAUUUGUGGGUUGAACCAAUGAUUUUUUCUGACGCGGCUCAAACACGAUAAUUUUAAAAAUAAUUUUUAAAUAAUAAUAUUUUAAAAUUUUUUAUUUAAAAAAUAUUAUUAAAAAAAAAUCCGUCGCAGAGGUUUAUCUAGUUGGCGCAUGCUGUUUGUGCUAAUAAUUAAUUUGCACUUAUUGCGACGAUCUGACAUCGCGCGACUGCCUCAGAUGUUAAUAAAGCACGUUUGACGAUAGUUUAGCGCUUAGAAGUGCGCAAGCCAAGUUCCAGUCGGAUCCCACUCUUCGGAGCCCGCGUUUCUUCUGGCGGCGGUACCCUUGCGGCCAUGGACUCCCAGACCGACGGCGGCGGCGGAGGGGACGACGUCACCGCACUGAAGGAGAUGCGCCGCCAACUGGAAGACUCCAUCGAGGCCCGCCGGCAAGCCCAGCAGGACCUCAUCGUCUCCCUACAGACCCUCGUCCCCGACCUCGUCUCCUCCCUCGACAUCUCCCUCCGCAUCAUUUCCGCCUUCAACCACCGCCCCUUCUACCCCACCCCCAACCCUAACCCUAACCCUAACCCAAACACUCCUUCCGAUCCCCCCCGCCCCCUCAACCCUCGCCGCCGUCCCCCGCUCCCGGACUCCAGUCCCCUCCCACCCCGUACCCGUCCCAGGCCCUAUCCUGGACCCCGCCGCGACCACUCCCCUCCCGACGCCGACGGUGGCGGUGGCGACCGCCUCUCGGUCGUCCGCGCCAUGGUCGCCGUCUGCCUCCUCGAGCUCAACCCGUUCACCGAGAUCGACUCCGCCGCCCUGCUCCGCCGGCUCGAGGGCGACCAGUCCUCCGCCACUCCCGCCGAGAAGGCCGCCCUGGUCGAGCUCGGCGGGGAGCUCGGACCGAUCUCCGCUGUCGAGACAGCGCUCCGGCGGAUCGCCGAGGAGAGCGGCGGGUUGCAACUGGAGGAGUUCACGGUGAACGGGAAGUCUAUGUUGAUGAUUCGGGCUAUUGAUCGGAACAAGCUCCUCAAGGAGCACCCUGAGAGCUCCUUCCAGAAUCAGCAGUUGCCGGUGGCGGAACCCAGUUCCGGCAACGGGAAGAAUAAGGGUCAGGGGCCGGGAAUGGGCGGAGUCGAUGGCGGCGCUGCGCUGAUGCCGAGGCCACCGCUGGAGAUGUGGAUGGGGCCUCCUGACUCUCAUUUAUCGGGCAUGUCUCCUAUGUUUCCACGGCCUGGCGCUCCGCCGACCAUGGUCGGCCCAAGAGGCGGGCCGAGGGUUAUGAGCUUGAUGGGGAUUCCGAGGAUGAUGGGCACGCCUCCUCCCCACAGGCCUGUCAUGGGUCCUGGCGCUGCUAUGGGUAGCACAAGUCUGGCGCCUCCGAACCAAAGGACUGAGGAGGAUGAGCUGAAGGACCUUGAAGCAUUGCUGAACAAGAAGACGUUCAAGGAAAUGCAAAAAUCAAAGACUGGAGAGGAACUUUUGGAUCUUAUUCACCGCCCGACUGCAAAAGAAACCGCCGUUGCUGCAAAGGUUCGGAAAUUUUGGUUCUUAUGUAUACAUGUCACUCUUCGGUGUAUCAACUGUUAUAGUUAAAUUGUUAUUCAUCAACACAUGUCUUGAUGGAUUUCUUGCUGAAUAAAAAGUGAGAAAAUGAUGUGAUUCUAAAGUUAGGGUAUCUCUAAUAGUCGAAUGGAUCAGUUUCAGGAGGAAUAUAUGGCAUUUUGAAGUGUUAAUAUUAAAAUUGAGCGGUUAAUACUUUUUUUGUUUGUGAAUUUUUCUCACGGUAGAGAUUGUUUUUGUUGAUUUAGUUAGUAUCCAAAGUGGUUUGAUUUUAGUUUAAGCAUUUCGCAAUAUAAUGGGAAAAGGUGUGAUUAUUUGUUCCUUCGUUCUAGUCUCACUGCUCAGUUGUUGAUUUUUCUUGCAUUAUUUCUGUGAUAUGUAGUAAUUCUAUCACUUGCCUUAAAAAGAAAUAUAGCAGAACAGGAGGCUUUACUUCUUGCAGAGUUUUACAGAAAUCAAGAAGAAGAAAACCUUCUUGCUUAUGCUUUAAUUCUUGAAGUUGCUAGUAAAUAAUUAUCAACUCUAUCCUCACUUCUUAUAGGAUAGUCAACAUCUACUUGCUUGAAAGAAUCCAAUUUAUGACAUAAUUCAUGAAUUGAUCCAAUAUGCUUGUACACCAAGUAUAAGUAUAUAUCUCGAACUUAAGGAAAUCUCCAAUUCUUAAUAUAAUCAAAAGAAGCUAAAUAUGUUGAACUUCAGGCAAUCUGAAGAUCUUACCUUCAUUAAAUGAACAUGUAAUAUUUUAGUUUAAAUGUGUGCAGAAGAGGAUUCCAAAGAGUUAGGCAUCUGUACCAAUAGGGGAUUGAAUGAUAGGAAAAUAAUCCAUGGAGUUCAGUUGUACCAAUUUGAUUUGGUUUCUGACAUAUCUGAAUUGCAUUUUUUUAAUUAAAUUGCAUUUUAGCCAGAUGAACCGAGUUAAAAUGAAGCAUAUGAAAAUAUAAUGCCGUAUCAGCUUAAACUCAUAUUAGUAUUUCUGAUGGAUGACAUGCUAUAAGGGGCUGGUUGCCCAUUCUAAAUGCACAUUGUCCCUUCAAAUAUAUUGAAUUUUCUUCAUUUCUAAAUAUCUGCCACAAGGUAGAAAAUAGCUCAUGAGAGCAUGUGUGACCAUGCAGAUUUUUCUGUAAUGAAUAAUACCUGCAUAUUGCUCCUCAAACUUUGAUUUCAACACUACUACUUUAUGAUCAGAAAAAAUACAGAAAUGGUGAAUAUCCUGGAAUAUGUCUAAGUUGUUUAAAUUGUGUUGACCUGCACAAAAUUAUGGGGGAAUCCAAAUUUUUAAAUUUCUAGUAAUUGUCAUAGUGCAAGUUUUGUUUUAUAUGAAGUCUCUAAUGCCUUCCCCUUUUGGUUCCGUAUGAAGGACAGCUUAUGGAUCUUGACUGCUUCUAUCACUAAAUUAUGUGUGGAAGCUGCUGAGGGCUUCCUGCUCAAGUAUUAGUUAAUUUUCAUGCAUGUUUUACCACUCAUGAUACCUGAUGUUGAGCAUUCUGUUUUCAGUUCAAGACCAAGGGUGGCUCUCAACUCAAAGAAUAUUGUACACAUCUAACUAAAGAAGAUUGCCGACGCCAAACUGGUUCAUUCAUUGCAUGUGAGAAGGUUAGUGUUACCAUUGAUUGUUUAACAAAAUCAUGCAUAAAAAUGUAGUUAUGCCUAUAUCUUAUUAUCUUGCAUUUGAUAUGGUUUUUAUGGAAUCUUUUGGAUGUCUGUAUGCUACAUUUAUAGUAUCUUCAUAUUAUCAUCAUACUUGUGUUUCACGCAACCUCGUUUCAUAUUAUAAGGAAUGGAUAAGUAAUUAAAUCAAUAAAGAUUAAUGUCAAAAAGUUGUAAGUUCCUCCUAGUUACAUCAUUAUAGUUAAUGACCAGCAAAAAUGAUUUCAUUUCCAACUCUAAAAUACUGCUCUAAUAGGUUGGUUUGGCCUGAUAAGUUAGAUCGUGUGCUAGAGAUAAGUUCAUUUCAAGACUAGGCUUGAAGAGAAAAAUAAAGAUUUAGGAUCCCUUGUAGUAGAUGAAGUUUACCAAGCACGUUUAGCAAAUAAAAAGAUUUCAAAGGAUUUGGAAGUGAAUGCACUACUUUGAUAAUACAGAAAACCAUAUAGGUAUUGAUUUGAAACUCAGUGGACCCUAAAUUGGAUAGUACAAUAAAGCUACAUUUUUAAGACUCAUGAAUAGACUAUGCAACAUGCAAUAUAUAUGCACAGUCAUAGAAAGAAUAUACAAAAAAAGGGCAGCCUGGUGGACAAGGCUCUUGCCAUUGUGGGAUUUGAGGAGGAUCAAACAUACACAGUCAUGCGCUCGCAUGUAGAGAGUUUGUUUCCAUGUUUGCAACCCAUGACCUCCAAAUCGCAAUGGAGCAACCUUACAGUUGCACCAAGGCUCACCCUCCAUAGAAAGAAUAUACCAUGUAUACUUAUUAGGAUUCCUGAUAAAGCCAUAUAUAUUGAAGAUUUGGAAUUCAAUGGACCAUAAAUUAGAUACAAGUAGUGUUAUAUUUGAAGACUCAUAAACAGACAGUGCAACAUGCAAUUUAUAUGCACAGUCAUAGAAAGAAUAUACAGAAUGUACUUAUUAGGGUUCUGGAUAUAUAGUGUAGGUAGGGUGAAAUCAAAUCUCUCUUUAAGAUAAAAUACUUUCUGUAGUGAAUAGAUGAAUUUUUUUAAGGAUUAAAAGGGAAGAAAUUGAAGAGACUAUGUGGAGAAUGUGCUUAUUAAUUAGUGUGUGUUUAAUAUUUUGACAAUAGGAAAUCAACUUGCUUCCACUGCUCUUCCUUUUUUGGUCAAAUCACUUCAUCUUCUGAUUGCUAUAUACUGUUUUUAACCUGCCACUUGAUUGUAGGUGCAUUUUCGGCGCAUUAUUGCUCCACACACUGAUACAAAUUUAGGUGACUGCUCUUUUCUUGAUACAUGCCGUCACACAAAGGUUAACUAUUUUCUCUUUUAUCAAAUUCCCUUAAUCAUUUUUUCUUGUAUUAUGGUUUGUAGCUGAUAAAUGUUUUGUUAACAGACCUGCAAAUAUGUUCAUUAUGAACUUGACCAAACACCAGACAUACCUUCAAUGAUGAUGGGUGCUACUAAUCUUCCACCUCCAAAACCAAUCAAGUCCCAAAGGGCCGAAUAUUGUUCAGAAGUGGAGCUUGGAGAACCUCAAUGGAUAAACUGUGACAUCCGUACCUUCAGAAUGGACAUUUUAGGGCAGUUUGGAGUUAUCAUGGCAGACCCACCUUGGGACAUUCAUAUGGAAUUGCCAUAUGGUACAAUGUCAGAUGAUGAGAUGAGAAAUCUUAAUGUACCUGCAUUGCAGACUGAUGGUCUGAUUUUUCUAUGGGUCACUGGGCGUGCAAUGGAACUUGGGCGUGAAUGGUAAUUUUUGUUUUUAGCAUAUUGUGCAUGAAAAUUGCUGGUAUUACUCUUUGUUAGAUUAACCAAUAAUGACCUAGACAGCCAUUAGAGGUUUUAUUAUUUUUUAAUCAUGCAAAUAUGGUACAAAGGGUGGGCUUUCAACAUGUGAGAGCAGACAAUCGACUAUAACCCUGGCCCCUGGACUUUUAUUGCAAUUACUCACUUUUUCCUGUUCUCUCAUAUAUUUUGUUUUGGCGGCAAACUUAAGAGUUCAUUGGAGUAACUUGUAACUGAGGGAUGUCCUGUUUCUGCCAUAUUGUGCAUGCAAACUGUUGAUAUUGUUCAUUGUUAGGAGAAUCAAUGAUGACUUGGCCAUUUCAUCUUUUAUUUAAAAACGUUGUGAAAAUGUGGUAGGAAGGGCAGGCUUUCAGCAUGUCCGAGCAGGCAAUCAACCAUAACGCCAGGCCUCUGGCCUUUGAUUGCAAUUGCUUACUUUUUCUUGUUGUCUCAUAUAUAUUUGUCCUUUGAGAGACCUAAUAUUACGUUGGAGUAACUUGUAACUGAGGGGGGUUUCUUCUUACAGUGGGCUCGUCUUAUUUGUUUAUGUUCCCCUGCAGUUCCUUGUGAAUAUUAGUAAAUGCAGACGCCUCUACCAUAUCAAGUCAUGUCGUGUCACUGUAAUUAUUUUUAGACUUGAUGCUUAAAGACAUGAUAUAGUCAAACUGCAAAGGGUCGUUUCUUAGAACAUCUAACACUGUUGAAAUUUGUACUGUAUGUGAGAUGGAUUCUUUUGCUGCAUAGUAUAACCAAGAUGUUGAUAUUUGAUCUGCUCAAAUUGCACCUUUCUGUGGUGAUGUAUAUGGCGAUUAGUGGAGACAUGAAGGUUUAAAGGUUCUGUCACUGUGAAUCCAAACUGUAGAUAAUAGAAGGAAACAGGGGUUUGACUGGAGCCUGGUGGAAAGGAAUUAUUUUAAAUUGCUGGUCUUUUAUUGUGAAGGAUAUCCAUCUUGGUGUUUAUGGUAAAACAGCCUUUUCCAUAGUAUUACCCCGCACGAUCUUGUUUUUGUACUUUAUCUUAUCUCUAGAUUGGGUGGGACAAGAAUUAGUCAUUGCUGUCCAAAAUUGUUUUCCAGCUUAACAAAUUGAAAUUAGUUUGAACUUUUUUAGCUGAUUAAUUCUGUUUGGUUUUUCUUCUGAUCAUUGCACCUUUCCAUUACUAAGUUUUCUAAUCAUGCAGAGACAGUAACAUAUCAAAUGUUGUUGUUGCAAGUUUCUUUCUAGUCUCUUAUACAUGAUGGCAUUGGCUUAUUUAUUCUUUAUUGUUUAUAAGAACAGUUGGCUUUAGACUAGUGGUAGGACUUUGAGGCAAACUCAUGGAAUUUUCUUUUUCUCUUUUUAACAUUUAUCAGUUUGGAGCUUUGGGGAUACAAGCGUGUUGAGGAGCUCAUAUGGGUGAAGACCAAUCAACUCCAACGAAUUAUUCGAACUGGACGUACAGGCCAUUGGCUCAAUCAUAGUAAAGAACAUUGUCUUGUUGGAAUAAAGGGAAACCCAGAGGUGAAUAGGAACAUCGAUACAGAUGUUAUUGUAGCUGAAGUUCGUGAAACCAGCCGAAAACCUGAUGAGGUAAGCAGAUGUUGUACCAUGUUUCUUUUCAACAGAAAUAGAAUAUAACUAAUUCUAACAAUGCCAUUAUUGCUUGGUGUUGCUAAUUUGACAGUAUACAAACCCCAUUCAUUAAGAAUGCCUAUAGUUCAUCUUAGUGAGUUGAUUGAGAAAGAAUACAUCUUCUCAUUCCUUGUCUUUCAUUAUCGGCUUUUUGAUACUAAAAACCUAGAAUCUGAAAGGCUUAAACAGAUCCUUGGAAAAAUCUUUGGUAGUAUUGAUCUUGAUGGUUGUCUUUCUUCACAAGGAACCUUGCUUUUGGCAUAGUCUAUCAUUUACUUCCUUUAUAAAAAUUAAUUCUUUCAAAAUUUUUUUUCUCGACGCCUGGCAUCCUCUAUCAUUUCAUUUCGGCAUCGUAUUUCUUAAUGUUUCUCUCCAUUCUAUAUUUUUGCACCCAUAUUGUUUUACCUAACCCCUUCAACGUAUUGUCAGCUUCUUUCAUCUUCCGGACAUUUUCUGGGGUAUUUGAUUUCAGUUGUUGAUGUUUAUCAAAAUAUAUCCAGACUUCAUAGUCUCUCUUCUUUAUUCUCUGCUAUUUUUCCUUUCGUUCUUCUUUAUGCUCCUUCUUUUUCCAGAAGCUGCAUGUUGCACUGCAUGCUAGAGAUUCCACCUUAGCCAAGGUUCAAGUAAAAUUUGUGUGUAAAGGACUCCUUUGAACAUAUAGGAAAUGGUAUUUUUAUUUAAAAAGGUCUCAAAAACAUGUGGUUUUUUCACACUCAGCAGAAUCGGGCACUCCAGUUUAGUAGUUUGUGUCACUAUUAAUUAUUUAAGUAUCAGCACUUUAUGGUGGUGCUCUGACGUGGCAAUCAAAAUUGCCUUGUCAUGCAACUGUGUUCUGUUAUACUCCACUAAAAGCUCCUCCUUUGUAUUUAAUUUGUAUCACAUAAAUUUAGAUAUACAAUUAUACACCUGUUAACCAUGCAAGUUUUCUCAAUAUGCAAGUCCGAGGUCCACAGCUCAUGUUUGUACAUGCUCUCACUGCAGAUGUACCCAAUGCUAGAGAGGAUAAGCCCCAGGACAAGGAAGUUGGAAUUGUUUGCUCGAAUGCACAAUACACAUGCUGGGUAUGCACUUACAUUGUGGUUUCUGUUUCCUUGGUUAUGUACUCACACUAGAUAGAUACAAAUGGUAUUUUAGAUCUUGAUGCCAAUAACCAGUAAUAUUUCGCCCAUUCCAUUAUAAUGUUUGUGUUUAGGCAAUUCCCAAAUUUGAUUGCAGAGAAUGGUUUGUGCAUUUGUGUAUUGAAAACAACUGUAAGCUGUCUUAUUCAGGAUAUUUCAUUAUAAUAAUAGAUAAGUUGCUGUUCAAAGUUAUUUUCCAAUGAAGGACCAUAGAGAACCUAGUUCCUACUGCUGACCCAUCCACAUCCCUGCCCUAAAUAAAUAAAUAGAAUAGAAUAGAAUAAAAACAACAACAAUAAGAAGAAAUUGUCCUAAUUUGGAAGUUUGGCAUGGAGUAAAUGUACUUCUUUCAUAUGACAAUGUUCUGUAACUAGGUUGUCCCAACUGAAAAGUUGACAAGGUUCCUAUUUGAUAAUGUUCUGCCGUUCAUCGUGAACUUAGUUUCCAGAAGUUUGAAGUUAACAUCUUGCCAAGUUAUGAACUCACUAGAUGGGUUCUUGUUUCUAUUCCCUUGCUAUGGCAGGGAUUUUCUCGUAAUUCAACUUGCACGAGAUACUUUAACUGUUUCUUUUUUACUUGCUAGCUUGUUUCCAUGCUGCACCAGACCAUCCAUUCCAAUUUAAUGGGCUUGCAAUUCUAAGGGUUGAAUGGUUUUAUCAGGUGGUUAUCACUGGGUAAUCAAUUGAAUGGAGUCAGGUUAGUUGAUGAUGGUCUGAGAGCAAGGUUCAAGGCUGCUUAUCCAGAUGUGGAGGUACAGCCACCAUCUCCUCCCAGAACUUCUGCUAUGGAUGUAGAUUCAAACAUCCCACAAACGAGGAGCCUUUUUGUUGGGACAGACUCAAAACAAUCAUCGAGCCAAUUCAUGGAACCAACACCACCUGUGGGCUAUUCUGAAGGAAAGCCUAUGGGCACAGAUUUUGAAGCAUCUUCUUAAUAUCAGCAUGUAUAAUUAGUUUCUUUUUGUCAUUUUGUGAUCUUAGCUUUUUCUCUGGGUGCAUGUUUCAUCAGCCAGUUGGCUGCCUUUGCUGUUGCUAGGAUACAGAAAGAUGUAAGCAGCUGGAUGCUUUCGCAAGGAGUGCUGCUUCACAGCACCACUCCAUUCCCAGCUCUCCAUGGCUGACAGGCACCAGCCCACCAACCACCGCCUCCGGGCGCAGGGAGUGGGUAGUACAGUGGUGCUGGUAAAUUAUUUCUUUCAUAAGUACUGCUACUACAUUUCACGUGCAGUUAAUGUAUAAUUAGAUUCUUUAAUGAGAGAGAUUUGAUGUACCUUCUCUUUUUGACCUUUUGGGUAUAAAAAAAGCCUUAAAGCAGCUCCAUCAAACUACCUUUCUUGAUACCAAGAAUUCGGUAGUCAAACAGGUAGCAGGCUGCAUGCUGUUGAUUCCGCUACCUUUUUGUGAAUUGCAACCGGCUGUCCUCAAAACAUCCUUGAUUGGUGCGAUUUAGAUCUCUUGCGAAGUGGAACUUAUUUUGCCCUUUAGGUUUGUUUGCAGCAUAUGGCAGUCUCCGGGAGUUGCAGCUUGCAAGGUACCCGAAAUUCAGAUUCUGAUUUUGCUGCUGGACCUAAAAAACAGUACAAAGGUUAUGGUUGUCACCAUGUGAAACUGCCAUUUAGAUGCUUAAAUAUAUUAAAUGUCUAAGUAGAAUUUAGACUUUACGUGGAUGCACGUUGUUAUUAUUAUUAUUUUUGAAAGGACGUAUUAAGUAAUUGAUCAAGAAUAGAGACUUCCGUGACAGUCUGGAAACAACUUAUAUUGAGAUCGUCAUCUGUUAAGCCAGAGCUAGGCAUGUUUGGCAGACAUCUUUGAUAUAUCAAGCAGUAGAGGAUGGAUAUCAGCAUUAUUGUGUAACGUUCUUUCGAUUUCUAACAAAAUACAAUGACAACACUGGUCGAUCUUACUUCAUUGUGAUGGAAUUUGGCUUUUGCUCCAUAUCCAUGCUUCACAUCUUAUUUGCAUAAUUGCAUGUGCACUCUACUUGUCUAGAGUGUUCAUAUUAUAUUAGUCUAAUUACUUUUCGUGAGAAAUAUAUUAGUAUAAUUUCUACUAUGUAAUCCUAAUCCCGACUAGCAAAGUUUUUAAAGUCCUUAAACAACUUUAAAAUGGAAGUUCAUGUAAGUUAAAUUUGCUUGCUUGCUUGGACUUAUUAAUGCUUGAGCACUUAAUCACCACUUGUUGCAUGUAUGUUUUGGGUGGCUGGGUUCGUUUAACACAUCUCAACGACCACUUGUUGCAUAUGUUUUGGGUGGCUGGGUUCGUUUAAAACAUCUCAACGAUGCUAAUGGUAAUGGUAGUGAUUCUAGGAUAUGUUGCAUGCCCCAUUAUUUUCUUUGAAUUGUUAAUACGGUGGUCUCUUCUAUAGUGUAUACACGGUGAGUGUGUUCGGUUUAUGAAAUGGAUUAAAAUAAGGAUCAGUAUAGCCAUAUUCAUUGGUGUAUUUGAUUUGUAACUGAAAUAAGAAUCAAAAUAGACUUUGAAUAUUAGGAGAGUGUGGGACUGUAUUUAAGAGAAAUUGAAGUAUUCUUUUUUUUUUUUUGAAAUCGAAAUAGAAUGAAAUUUUUUUUCAGCAAAUAACUAAAUAGUUGAAAUAAAAAUUACCCCUUAUCAUUUUUAUUUCAAAAUCUAAUUCUCUUCAACUAAAUAUAUUUUAUAUUUUAUUUGAAUCAUAGUAACAUCCUCAGAUCAUCUAUUCGUUGCGCCAAAGCAUCGCGUCUAUUACUGCUGCUAGAAAUUUUAAAAAAUAACAAUAACCUUAAUAUAUCUCUACCUCGUCUAAAACAAGAAGAGAAACACCUGCGGAUAAUUAAAAAUUACAAAAACAUCUAUUCUAUGCCCCGUAACCGCUAAAAGUUUUUUAAAAAUAAUAAUAAUAAUCUUAUUAUAUCUCUACCAAAAAAGAAAAGAAAGUGCCGACAAUUAAAAAUGAACGAGAUCUAGAUUUUUUAACGGAAAAUCCAGAUCCAAGAUCCAAUUCCGAUGGCCCUCAUCUCAGUAUCAGCACUCUCUAGAUCCCUGCUCUCACAGGAGACUCAGAAGAACCAAACCGACAAUCGACCAAACAGCCACGGAGGCCCCGAGCGACACCGCUCCCGAUCCCUGCGGCGGCGAGGGUCCGAAGACGAUGGGAUACGAAGGCGAAGAUGCCGGCAGCGCCGACGACGCGCCCGGCGGCGGCGCAUCGGCCGCCGGCGGGAAGAAGGUGCCAUUAGCUGCAGGGACGGCGAUCGCCAGCUUCUGAAGCUUCUGGCAGUGCCCUGGGACGCCACUAGUGAAAUAGUAAUUGCCGGGUACCGUGAGAUUAAACGCCGAGUUGCCAUCGUUCAUUUUCUUUAUCGGAUCCGUGAGGCUGCAGCUGUUGUACGCCCGCUCCGUCACCUGGAUCACCGAAUCCUGGCUCGGCGGGUAGAGAAACACUGCCAACAGAGCAAGUCCAAUCGGGCGGUCAGUAACCGGAGGGAGGUGACGGGAUUUGAAUAUGAUGAGAACAAAAGAGAGAAAGAUGCCGGGGUGGGGGAGGGGGGUGUGGUGUGUUGGGUGGGUGUUUGGUGUGGGUGUGGGAGUUGUUUCUUACAGAGGGAGUCGCCGAGACGGAAGUGGUACUUCUGAGGCCAGAGGGCGUAGACGUGGGGGUUGGAGGAUGGGGGCACUCCCCAGGAGUCCAGAUCCCCCACUUUGUACUGGUAGCACCAGCACCCACUUAUUAGCAUUGCUGCUAGGAAUUGGAAUGCCCACGAGAGCCGGCGGCAGUUGGCAAUGCUAGAUGGGACGACCAUGUUCUCCUCUUUUCUUCUUCUUUCUUGUUUAGCUACAGAAAUUUUGCAACCCCUUUCCCAGCCACCAGGAGGAAACUGUGGAGGUGGGAGAGCGAUGGGGAGGAUGAUGGGAGGCGAAGGAGUGACGUUUUAUUUGAUUGUUGGUCAGCAAAUAGCCGUUGGAUGCCAAGUAAGAGGAAUCUCACAUCAUAUACAUGUACAAGCAUUAUAUAAAGAGAACGCGAGAAGAGUAGCAAACGGGAUCUGGUUAAUGUGUGGGCCGGGAAGACGGGGUUCACCGUCACGGCUGGUUGCCGAUUGGCUGGCGGUGGGACGGGGAAAGAUUGUAUCGUUUCCAGCGACAGCACGUGGGACAGUUGGACAGAAGCGGGAAUCAUGCAACGUGGCUUGGAGCACACGCACAACGAGACGGGUUUAUGCCUGUUCCCGGCUGUCCACAGCGUUGAUUGGAAGGAGAGAUAUAACGUACGUUGUACCAUCCUUUGCUGGCAUUUAAAUUUUAAGCCUAGUUGAUUGGCAACUUCUUUAUUCCACUAAUAAGUACAGCUAUGACACAUUCCCAUGCAAGGUUUGGGGUUAAUUAUUUAUUGAAUUGCCUUUGGGCGUAUUGGAUUAUGUUCCACGCCCGGGUGAGGUUAUUUUUGCUGAGCAUUGCUGCUGAGAUUAAGAUAUGUUCGAGCUUCGAUCAUGGAGAAAAUCAUUUAUACCACUCUUGGAACGAGUCAUGCAUGUACACGACACGUGCAUAGCAUGCACUGAUGACAUCCAUCUUGCAUCUGAUACAUGACACAUCUUUAGGUGGCACAACAGCUACUGCUUGCAUCUUUUGGAUAGGGAUUGUAUAUUUUGUACGAAAGGAGGAUUUAUGGCUAUUCAUCAUCGUUGUUCGUGCAAAUUUAUCGUCCACUGCAUAGAUCUCAAAGUACUUUGAAGUUCAUCAUUCUUCUUUAUAGAUCAAAGUGAUCAGGGGGUGGACCUACGAUGGAUUUGCACGAAGGUGAAUUCUUUUUUCGUGUCAAAAAUAUUACCCAACCCUGGAUCUUAUCCCAUUUGCUUUGGAACUGGAGAGAUCCAUGUGAACAUCAACUGCUAUCUUCGUACUAUACAAUAACAAGUGAUUGGAUAAGAAGGUUGCAUACAUGUCUUGCUCUAUCUAAUCGUCCUUCAUUAAGUGUCGGUGACCGAACCGGAUCAUUUAAUCGUCGGAGAGAAUUCAAAAUAGCAUGUGGUGUUGGACAACCAAAUAUAUAACACACGUCUGAUCUAAUCGCUUCUUCGGUACAAUCAAUAAUUAAACAAAGUUAAAUUCACAUCAAAUUGACUGUUAACUUGUUUAAGAAAUCUUGGUGAGCCACACAAGGUACUCCACACUUCGUACAAGCUCUUAAGAAAACUAAUCAAAAGACAGUUUGGUAGCCCCAGCACAUUUGAGUUAGCCGGCCAAGAGGAGCAACAAGAGCAAGGACAAUGGAAAAUUAAAGCACUUCAGGCACUAUCAGGCAAAUUAAGUUUCAGAGGUUGUAGCCAAUAAGCAAGACACAUUUUGAUAGCAUACUGAAAGAAGUGAAAACAUGCAGGACUUAAUGGCAUAAUUGAAACUUUGCUUCAAAAUUGAUUGCAAGUCUUAAUUGCAAAAUACUAUAGAUCUACUUUCAGGAGGAAGUAGGACAUUC